GGGGCACAGUCUAGUGGGAGAUAAAUGUACCAUGCACACACAGAGGAGCAAGCCAAUGCUAGGUUAGCAGCAGGAGCCUGAUUCACUCCCCCUGAGAGCUUAGGCACUAACUGAUCCUACAAAAGGUGCCAGAGGUCUCCUGUCACAGCUGAAUGUGUGACACACCACAGAGGAGCCAUCCAUCCUUUCCUGUGUUCUCAGGUCUUCAAACAGACUUGAGCUGGAUUCAAGUUUGAAGGUUUCAAAAAGGAUAAACAGCAAUUCAGGAUCAAUAUGGACACCCAGGCAGUCAGUCUGCAGCUGUGACUAGAAGCUAUUCUCCAAACAAAGACUGGUGAAAAGGCUGUUGAAAACAGAAGUCUAGACCCCAAGGAAAUCUGCAGUUGGAUGAACCCUAGGUCAUAUUUCCUCUGUUAACCUCUGACAACAGUUACCGCAAGCUGUGCUGUUACCAGAUUUAAGUAAGUGUGGACUUGUUGCAUCCUGCCUUUCCAAUUGUUCUGUGUGGGAGCUUUCCCUGGAGCAAACCAGACAGAGACUGGCCACACAGCCACACCACGGACAACCAACAUCAUGCCUCAAGAAAUAAGAAGCCACAACUGAUGACAUCCAGACAGCUUAUGGUGAGGAGAAAAGGACUUACAAAAUACUCUGGGACCAAUUUGGAGUGGUCAUGUAGAUCUACAGCCCAUGAUUGGCCAGAAGACUUCUAGAACAUUC
Long non-coding RNA from Passer domesticus (house sparrow), 720 nucleotides. RefSeq lists it as uncharacterized. The transcript is spliced from 3 exons. The record is from RefSeq and is a predicted model, not a curated record. NCBI's taxonomy places the organism in Eukaryota, Metazoa, Chordata, Aves, Passeriformes, Passeridae.